RNAcentral lists this long non-coding RNA (2019 nucleotides) under Macaca fascicularis (crab-eating macaque). RNAcentral's name for it is "lncRNA (ENSMFAG00000051450.1)". Lineage: Eukaryota; Metazoa; Chordata; Mammalia; Primates; Cercopithecidae. The record is from RNAcentral.
UCCUGCCCCCAGCAGUGACUACCGGCAACUGCAAGGAGCUGUGGCUGUGCAACAAGCUGGUGGCACUGCUGGCCACGCUGGAGGAAGCCCAGGAGGGCACGGAGUUUGCCCACAUGGCCCUAGCACUCAGCAUCACUCUGGGGGACUGGCUGAAUGAGUGCAUGGCCUACCACCGGCUGGCCGCCCUGCACCAACGGCUGGGCGACGGCGAGCUGGCGGAGCACUUCUACCUCAAGGCCCUGUCGCUCUGCAACGCUGGAGUUCGACCAGGAGACCCUCUACUACCUGAAGGUUUACCUGAUGUUCGGCGACAUCAUCUACGACCUGAAGCAGCUGCUGCCUGGCUGGCCGACUGCAGAAGAAGAGUCUCUGGUACUCCCGGUGGGCCCUCGGGAAAAGCGUGAGCACCACGAUCAAGUCUCAGGACGCCGCACACGUUAGGGUCGCCCACAGACCGCCAUUCCCAAUGCCUAGAAGGCACUGAAGGGGCCUCCUGCUCUUUGUAAAUGUCAACUCUCCUAAGCUAUGCUGUGUAGAAAAUUUUUAACUGCAGUCCACACAUACUUUCUUCCUGUCUUGUUUUUAUCCUAGAGGCAUAUUGUUAUGGAAAAUUAAGUUUGCAAGGUUGAAGGGUUUUCUGAAAGUCGACUUCUAAUCCUGGAAGAAAAAAAAAAAUGGGCCAGAUGUGGUGCUCACGCCUGUAAUCCCAGCAGUUUGGGAGGCUGAGGCAGAUCGCUUGAGCCCAGGAGCUCGAGACCAGCCUGGAAAACAUGGCAAAACCCUGUCUCUACUAAAAAUACAAAAAAAAAAAAAAAAAUUAGCUGGGCGUGGUGUGUCUAUUCCCAGCUACUCAGGAAGCUGAGGUGGGAGGAUCACCUGAGCCCAGGAGGUGAAGGCUGCAGUCAGCCUAGAUUUGCAUCACUGCACUCCAGCUUGGGUGACACAGUGAGACCCGUCUCAAAAACAAAAGCAAAACAACUGUAUAAAAAUCAUUACACAAGGGAGCUGGCUGGGCACGGUGGCUCACGCCUGUAAUCCCAGCACUUUGGGAGGUCGGGGUGGGCAGAUCACCUGAAGUCAGGAGUUUAAGACCAGCCUGGCCAAUAUGGCAAAACUCCAUCUCUAAUAAAAAUACAAAAAUUAGCUGGGCGUGGUGGCGGGUGCCUGUAGUCCCAGCUACUCAGGAGGCUGAGAGAGGAGAAUCACUUCAACCCGGGAAGCAGAAAUUGCAGUGGGCCGAGAUUGUGCCAUUGCACUCCAGCCUGGGCAACGAGCAAGAGUCCACUUCAAAAAUAAAAAUAAAAUGGAAAUAAAAGGGAGCUAAUGUUUUCCAUUUAAGGGAAGGGAGAAUAACAUUCAGUAUUUAUACAUCUCACACACACAUCUGCAGUGGUAGCCUCAAGUAUUCAAGAUACACAUUCCCACAAAUAUAGUUCAAAACUACCCACCAAGUUACACGCUAAGAGCACAUGCAUUGUAAGAAUGCUACAUUAUAUUUUUUAAAAGCAUCUGUAUCCAAUAUUUUAGCAUACUGGCAGUUUUCCCUUCAGGUGCUGUAUGCCUAAAUUAUUACAUGUUUAGUCAUUCAUUUUAGAAUUUAUGGCCUCCUUUAGACAAAAGAAAUAUAUUUAAACAUAAGCUACUAAAUUAAUGACUUAGGGGAAAAAUUACUAAAUUAACUUGGAAGUUAAACUUUGCAAACUGAAUUUGUUGGACCUCAUGUAAGCUAGACGAUCAGUUUUUUAAAUUGUUGUGUGUUUCCCUCAAGGAUGGAAGUCUCCUCUUGUCUCUCAUCCACUGUGCACACCACUGCAGCCCGCACCUGUCCUCCACGGCGCCACAGUGCGGCCUGCAAUUCACCCUGUACCACGCCUUCCACACCUUACCUGAAAGUCACUAAGUAUAACCAAGAAGGCAAUGAAAAGCAGAUAAAUGACCUCCACCCCCACAUCCAGCAUGCAAAUGUUAAACAUUCAUCAAAGUAAAACCAAAACCAAAACCAAAACCCAUGUUAGCUCA